Non-coding RNA from Sus scrofa (pig), 1901 nucleotides. The record is from RefSeq and is a predicted model, not a curated record. NCBI's taxonomy places the organism in Eukaryota, Metazoa, Chordata, Mammalia, Artiodactyla, Suidae.
UAACUGAGUCACAGUCUUAAAUGAGUCCAGUUCCUCCACAAGAGAAAAGAAAAACCAGAACUCUUUCUUUUCAUCACUGCUGCCAGUAAAUCAUCUUUUAAAUGAAAUUUUUUUUAAAAAAGAAACAAAAUAGUUAUAUAGAUGUGUUAUUCAUUUUCAAUUAGUGAAAACAAACCACCAAAAUCCAAGACUCUUUUAUAUUGCGUAGCUGGAAUCAUUUAACUUGACCCUGAGGGAAAGUAUUAAAAUUUGAUAAAACCAGGCUUUUCUUUUUUUUAAAUUCAGAAAUAAUUUAAGACAAGUAGCAAAUUGUUUUAAAAACCUAUAGUAACUCCUAUUUAUUUUUAAAAACCCUGCAGUUGGGCAGAAGUACCACAUAGUAACAUUCAGAUACAGAAACAUAUUCUCUUAAUCUGAUGGUACAAUUUUUUUCUUCAUAAUCUGGUUCAUUUUACACCAAGGGUUGCUUUAAUAUAAAGCUAUGCAUGCCCCUGAAUCUUGGAUGCAAUUAUAUUUAGGCAGUCACACACCCACACACAUAAAUGGAAAACACCCAUCAAACUGCUUUUUAUUCCUUUUCUUUCCACCAAGAUCAGCUGAAAGAAAACAAAAAGCUCUCUAGCUUUAUUUUUUUCACAUUAUUAAAAAAGAAGAGGAAUUGGUAGGCAAUCUUACUUACACAACUGGCCCCGUGCUUGGCUCCAGGAAGAAUGUAAUCCCUGACUCUAAUGCAAAGAACUUUUAAAGGCUGAGGCAUGGAGCCCUCUAGUGUUCUGUUUGGAAACAGACUGGGAAAUAUCCCAUCUCUUGGCGUGAGAAAGGAUUGAGAGUGCUUAGCAGCAGUGGAAUAAACAUCUCCUGACAGGAAUGCCAUCACCUUCUGUCCAGCCCAGAAGCCAGGAUUAGAGCACCAGGUUUUCCAGGGACUCACCUUUCCAUCCUGGCCGUUGUACAGAGUAACUGUGAGGUCCCACCACUCCUGAGAAGAGAAGGCCUAGAAGUUCAUUAAAAGGUUAGCUUUGGGCCGUGAGUGUACAGAGCAAGUCUGAAGAAGGACAGGAAGCAGCGCUGAUCCAAUCCUUGGGAUCAAAGAUGAGGGCUCCAUGCUCUCCCCAACCCUGGGGCUGUCAUCCAGAAAUCAGGAAAAGCAGAAAGAGUGCUGCCAGGCCCCCACUCUGCCCAGAGCCCAGAAUACCGGCAGGCUCCGGAGAAAAACCUCCAUCCAGGAUCUUGGCUGAUGUGCAACCUGGGCAGCAGAAAACCUAAAAAGCCAGUUCAAGCAUCCACCCAAAGAAAAUGUCUCCUGUUAACACUGGAACACCAUAGGUAGAACAGGGCUCGGUGUAUCUGGGCCAUUUCUCUGACAUUCCCUUGGCUGUGCACCGGUCAGUGGCUGACGCUCCUCCUCAUCACAAGUGGGAGGCUUCCUAAAGCGACUGAUUUCACGUGACUUCUCCUUCGCCUCUCGAUGGUAAAAAGGGACAAGCACCUCACAGCCACCAAACAAAUUUCCUGAGCUUCAUGCAAAAGCCUAUCACCAUGGAUAAAAGGAUGUCAUAUGGGUUUACCCCUUGGUUACACACUAAUUGCUGAAACAAUAACUGUAGUAAAUGACUUUGAAUUGUCCUUGGAGCUGCACAUAAUAUCAGUCCUUAAUAUCCUGGCUGCUACACAGUGGGAAAUCUUUAGAAUGAUGUUGGGUAGACAAACCAAACAUCCAUUAUAAUCAUGGUAGAUUUUUUCCUAUUGUCCGUAUUAAACCGUGGAGCCUGUAACACAGAGACAGUCCUGACCUACCUCUCCCUUUUCAGGUCCCCAACACAUGGCUCUCAUAUAAUCAAGAUUUGACAAUUGCCUGAUGAAAGAGCAAAUAAAAUAAUAGUUGAUUCUCUUCAAAAAUA